GUGACACCUAGCAGUAUGUAGUGGUAACUCAGUAGAAUUGAAAUGAACAUCUAGAUGUAGUUAACGUGUGAUUCAAUCCCUCAAUCGUGAGUUUCGACUAGAUGGCAGGUCAUAGAUAAAUUAUCAAACCUUAACAUUAGUCAUAUGAUAGAUUCGAUCAGCUCAAGUCCAAAUGUGAUUCUUAUAAAAAUAUUUUUCCAUCAAUCAUACUACUGUGGCCACAGAUUCUCGAACUUAGUUUCUCAAAUCUCAUAGGACUACUCC
Molecule: long non-coding RNA, 264 nt
Filed under: Elaeis guineensis (African oil palm)
Lineage: Eukaryota; Viridiplantae; Streptophyta; Magnoliopsida; Arecales; Arecaceae
Description: long non-coding RNA (EGUI_LNC065193)
Source: RNAcentral